This 253-nucleotide ribosomal RNA is filed under the name uncultured bacterium. Its description in RNAcentral is "partial 16S ribosomal RNA". It matches the Rfam family "Bacterial small subunit ribosomal RNA", at positions 524 to 776 of the family's 1533-position model. The record is from RNAcentral.
UACGUAGGUGGCAAGCGUUGUCCGGAUUUACUGGGCGUAAAGAGCGCGCAGGCGGUCGGUUAAGUCGAGUGUGAAAGCCCCUGGCUCAACCAGGGAGGGUCAUUCGAUACUGUUCGACUCGAAGGCAGGAGAGGGAAGUGGAAUUCCGGGUGUAGUGGUGAAAUGCGUAGAUAUCCGGAGGAACACCAGUGGCGAAGGCGACUUUCUGGCCUGUUCUUGACGCUGAGGCGCGAAAGCUAGGGGAGCAAACGGG